This 7442-nucleotide long non-coding RNA is filed under the name Marmota monax (woodchuck). The stretch from base 6047 to 6179 matches the Rfam family "Small nucleolar RNA SNORA71". Lineage: Eukaryota; Metazoa; Chordata; Mammalia; Rodentia; Sciuridae. The record is from RNAcentral.
UCGCGGCGCCUGGUGGGUGGCGACAUUCCUCUGUAGCCUGCACGCUCCGCGAGAGCGGCUGCAGGCGUUGGACAUUCACCGCGGACUGCGCGAUCGUGUGUUGUUGACUCCAGGCGACAGGGCUGCUGUGCUGUAGGCGAACUUGUGCCCGAGAGCUCUUUCUGCACAGGGUCGAGAAGGUCUAUGCUGGUAGUGGAGGACUGUAAAGUAUGUUUAUUGUCUUUGCACAGCCUGAGGUUGCUGACUCUGGCAAUUUGGUAAAAGAAAGAAAGAAAGAAAAAAAAAAAAUCCCAGCAUGAAUAGCAGAAGAGGCUUUGGAGGAGUUACUUCACCGAAACCUGAAACUUGGGAAACUCCAUUUUGAAAAUGCCAGAGUGCCCAUCCCAAAUAUUAUUGAAGACGUUGAAGUCAGGUUCAAGGACAUUUGUCUCUCUUCUUUCUUCAAACGAUGGUGGCAAGACAUAAUAUUUGACUGGAUUGGAGAAUUGGAAGUUUUUCUCCUGGACAGCUGUCAAACCUGAAGUAGAACACAAGCAGUGGAGGAUCUCUAAAGGACCUUAAAGGAAAAGACUUUUAGGGGUGAGUCCCAAAAACUCUUCCCAUGGGAUCAAACCUCUCUUUCUUCCACUUUUCUGGGAAAUGAAAAUCCAAAGUUUAAAUAAAUAAUGACAAACAAUAAAAACAAAAACAACCAAAUAAUAAUAAUAAUGUUCACCAGGUAGGAUGGAUAUCUUUGCCCAUUUUAGGCUGCUAUAACAAAAUACUACAAAGUGGGUGGCUUAUAGACAAUAACAAUUUAUUUCCCCCAAAUUCUGAAAGCUGGGAAUCUGCGAUGGAGGCACAGUAGAUUCUGACCUGUGGGGGCCCACUUCCUGGUUUAUAGAGUGAUGGCUGUCUUCUCACCGUGUUCUCAAAUGACGGAAGAGGGAAACAAGCUCUCCAGAGCCUCUUCUAAGGACACUAACCCUAUUUAUGAGGGCUCCACCCGCAUGACCUGAUUAAACCUAAACACCUUCCAAAGAUCUCACCACCUAAUACCAUCAUAUUAGGGUAUAGAGCUUCAACAUAUGAAUUUGGGGAGCAUUUGUCCAUAACAAAUGUUCCAUGCGUGGUCGGUGAGUGCAAUAAUGGACGGAAGGAAUGAUUGGUUGCAAGGAAGCUUGAAUGAGUGUCUUAGUGAUCUUAGUGGUAUGCUGAUUAAAUGAAUUAAAAUUCCUGAAAUACUUGUGCUCAAAAAUAUUAGUCAUUGAUUGACAUUAUAUUCUUUAAUAGCAUUGACAGGAGGCACUAUACCAAAAGAUACACUAGAGAAGAAGUGUUUAUCUACUUCUAUGAUCUUUACAUCUUUAAUAGUUUCACAUUCGUACAUUCCUAAAUAGAAGUUACUUAUCAUUUCAUGAUUAGUUCCUACUUUUCCACUAGACUUUAGAUUAAAUAUUCUUUCUUCAGAGAAGCCCUCCUGUUCACUAGGCUAAAUAAGUCACCACUGAUAUUAUAUUAUACCAUUCUACCCAUUUCCUUUGUGGCACUCAUUAUGAUUUUUAAUUAUUGUAUUUUCUAACUUGUUUAUUAUUCCUAUUAGGAUAUAACCAAAAAAAAGUCUGUCUUCUUCGUUUCAUUUUCAAUUCUUAGUCCAGUCCUUGAUAAAAAGUAGUUGUUCAGUAAAUUUUCUGGAUGAAUGGAAGUCUAGAUCAGUUGAUUGAUGAAAAGAUGAAUGAAUGUAUAGAUGGAUGCAUACAUAUGUAUAGUUAUUUAAGUCGAUGGGAGGAUGGGUGGCUCAAUGGUAUAAAUGAAUAAUUGGAUGGACAAGGAAGCUGAUGUUCCAUAAAUAUUUUCUGCAUAUGCAGAUGCGUGGUCGGUGAGUGCAAUAAUGGAAUAAUGAUUGGUUGCAAGGAAGCUUGAAUGAGUGUCUUAGUGGCUUAUUGAAUCUCAGCUCCGCUCAGCCAGGGGCGCUGCAGGGCCACUCACUUAGCCGCCGCUCUAGGCUGCCCUCGCGCGCGCAGCCGCAGUUCCGCCGGCACUGCGGGGCGUAGAGAGCGUCGCGUAACUGCUGCGGGAUGCUUCUCAGCACUUUUCUGCACCUGGGUGCAUUCCCUUCGGUCGCUCCGAGUGAGUCCCUAAGGGUGCGCGCUCCAGGCGUCAUCUGUGCGAGGACCCCAGGUGGCCUCCAGGAGUCCCUGUCAACCCCGGGAAACCGAGGCCCGGGGGGCGGAGCAGCCGCCGGGGUCAGCGCUAAGCAGGGGGUCCAUCCUGCGCGCAGGGCGGGGGGCCUCCCGGGAAGAGGCCCUCGGUGGGCAGCGGGCUCCCUCGGCCGCCCCAAGCUGACCGACUCUGAGCCGACGUCAGAGGCGCGCGCGGCCUCGGCUCGGUGUCGGUCUGCGCCCGGCCAGUGGCGCGCCGGUGGGCCCGGAGCCGGGCGGAAGGCGCGCAGAGCCUCGGGGUUUUUUUUGUUUUGUUUUGUUUUUGUUUUUAAUAUUUACUUUUUAGGUUUCGGUGGUCACAACAUCUUUAUUUUAUUUUUAUGUGGUGCUGAGGAUCGAACCCAGCGCCCCGCGCAUGCCAGGCGAGCGCGCUACCGCUUGAGCCACAUCCCCAGCCUGCCCCGGGGUUUUUCACACCCGGUUCUCCAACUCAUGGCAUUCAAAGACCCAAAGUCUCUGGUCCGUCGUCUCAUAGGAUCAAUCUUUGUGUCACGUCGUAGGAACGAUGAACAUUCCCCUCGACAACUUUUGAAAGCAAGAGCUAAAACCCAUUUUGAAGACUGGUUGGUUGAAGUUUAAGUUAAGGACACUCUAAGGGCCCAGUGGGGCAGCGUCUGGACUCGCGUCCUUGCUUCGCACUGAAAGCCCUUUCCCCGUGCUUUUUUCUGCCUAGGCCUCGCUGCUGUGCGCCUCUCUUGCAGACAGAUGACAGCUCUUCCUUGGACGUUUUCACUGGUUCUGCAACACCCAGUGUCCCCUUCUCUCCGCACUCCCCGGUGGGCGCCCAGUGUCCAGGGGGAGGAUGUCCCUGGGUAAGUGUUGCUACUCAUGAGCACCUGGAAAUGGGGGGUGCCUCCUAUAUUGCCUUUUGUGGACAGGAGUAGAGGGGAAGGUGAUGGAGCUCUACCACGUUCUGAAAACGGUGUGGCAAAGCCUGUGUGCAGAUACCUGUGUAGGUAUUGGGGUGGGGUACAUGGCUGAGUUUGAGGACCAGAAAGACCUGGGUAGAUCCUGGCUAAGUUUCCUCAUUUUCCUGAGCUUUACUUUCUGUAAAGUAGGGAAGCCGCCAAAGCUCUGGGGGGCGAAGGGUUUGACUGCUUUUGUUUUGCUUUUGAGCCUUUAUGUCUGGCUACAUGUAGAUGCACAGUAAUUGGGUGGAUGAGUGAAUGAAUAAUUUAGGCGUUUUGACCAGAAGUUGGUCUUCCCAUGAACUUUUUUUCAAUACUGUGCAUUAAACCCAGGGUCUUGUACACUGAGCUAUAUACCAGGCUCUUUUCAUUUUUUAUUUUGAGACAUGGUCUUGCAAAGUUGUCCAGACUUGCCUUAAACUUGACAUCUCCUGCCUAAGCCUCCCAAGUCAUCAGGAAUUACUGGCAUAUGGCACCAUAUCCAGCUUUUCCUGUGGACUCUUUUGAUGGGGCAGGUGAAGCUUAUGUUGGAAGAGAUAACUGCAUAGUGCUUAGGGUUAUUUCAGCUUCACACUUAGACAGUCAGCAAGAAUUUAUCCAUUUGAGUCUCUUUGGCAGAAGAUGGGUCCCAGGUGAUGAGGGAACCUUCUAGAACCUCUACAGUGUUAUCAGAGUUUGCACAAAAAUGAUCUGAAAAGUUCUCUAUGGAAGAUGAUUAUUUGCCCCUGUGGAAUUGUCAACUUCUUUCCUUGUCCAUGAGGAAAUGAUGUAGUUCAUAGAUUAGUACAACAGCCCACAUUUGUUAAACAGCUAGUUACUGUGCUAGAAGCUCUCCAUAUGCUUACAAGGAUGAGUUUGACUAGGUGACAUUUAGGUGAUUCAUCUGGUACUUCUUGUUUAUUGGAAAGGUGGUACCUUAGUGUAGAGGGGCCUGUGAGAAGUGUCUCCAUCCUGCCAGAAAACAGCUGGAUGAGAGUGCUCCAAAGAUGAGGUCUGUCCCCUGGAGGUCUGGGGCUUUGGUUCCCCAGGCAUCACAUAUUCUGGGAAACAGAUGGAAGUGAGAUGAAAGUGGAUUCUUGCUGGCUCCCAGUUUUAUCCUUCCUGGGGUUUUUGAUAUGCAUCUGGUUGUUGCUCUUCCUGCUUGGGUUCAGAAUCUUCAGGGAUCCCUUCUUUGGUGUAUUGGUAGCAGAACAUUUACAUGAACAGCAGGAAGGGUUUUGGUAUCAUGCUAAUCUGUACCCACAUCUCAGUUGCUUCACUUCCGCCUCCUAUCUUUGGGACCUUCUCUUAUCUUCAGUUUAGUUCCCCAGAAAGCAGGAAUACAGUGAGCCAGUUGUUUGAGGAGCACAAGUCCCUGUCUUUCACAACCUAAGAACUCCAUCGGUUUUCUUUAGAGGUGUCUUCCCUUUGCCUUACCUAUCUGGGUCAUGAUGAAGGAAUUUUUGUAGUAUUAGAAACAAUUGCUGGGUCCUUGUGCUCAGCUGGGCUGGCUGCUCCUGGCUUCUGCCUUAGUCUCCUUUUAUAGCAAGCCUUCUGUCCUUUUCUGCCCCUGCAUUCGUAAGUGAUCAUGGGGUGUUCAUGUCAUGGUCUUUGGUAGUGCAGGCAGAGGAAAUGUGGAAAGAACUGUCCUGUAUUUGGAAGGUUUUACCCUGGCCUUCUGCUUCUGGCAGCUUUCCCACACUCCUUCUCAGUUUUGCUCAUACCUUGGACUCCAGGCAUUGGCAGCUGCAGUGUGUGUGUUACUACUGCUAUUGGGGCUUUCAUUUCCUGCCCCUUCUUUUGGGAACAGUCUAUGGGUGUUGUUGAAGUUCCUUUCAGCAGCCAGUAGAGUCACUGCCAGGCAGCCCGGCACACUCCCACAAACCUGCUUUGGCAUUCAUUUCAGCCUGUUGCUGGUUACAUAGUAAGUAUUGAUUGCCUUGCCUUUGACCAUCUACUGCCUCCCUCUUUAGAGUUAACUCUUAUUUGUGAAGAAAUGGUGUGCUCGCCAACAUUUUUAGGAUGCUUAGUGUCUGGUAGCUACUGUGCCAAACCAUUUCUUGGUGCUUACCAUGCCCUACUGUGAGCAAUGACACCUGGGUGCCCAUCAGUGCUCCUUAUCUCUUGCAGAUGAGUCCACUGUGUACAGAGGCACCAUGGGAGUUGUCAUUGUCAGGAACAUUCUACACCCCAGGAAUCUUGAGGUAAGAUUUCUGGUCUCUUGUAUCGGAUACAGCCCUGUUCCCAGGGGCUCUGGGUGAUGAUGUAGGGGAGCUGAGAGGUGAGAUAAAGGUGGUACCAUGGGUCCCCAAAUCUACCACCCAACCAACCAAUUCUAGAUCACACCUGACCCUUCACAUACCUUCAGUGGCUGCUGCAGGGGAAAGCCUCCAAGGUCCCACUUGUGGAAUGAGAGGUCUCUGGGACAUCUGCCCUCUCUACCUGGGAACCAGCAAUAGCAUACUGUAAUGAUAAAUGGGUGGCAUGAGAAUCCCUUCUGCCGCUGUCUCAGGCACUGUACCACUGAGCUAUACCUCCAUCCCUUUUUAAUUUUGAGAUAGAGACUUACUAAGUUGCUAAGGCUGGCCUUGAACUUAGGAUCCUCCUUGCCCCAGCCUUCCAAAUUGCUAGGAUUACAGGCAUGCAUCUCUGCAUCAAACAGAACCUAAUUUUUUUUAUUUGAAAAAAUGAAGUGGUGACAGAGUUGACUUUUGUUGUACUUGAAACCCCAUGAUUCUUACCAUUACAACCCUAACAUUUUUCCACUGUUUAUGUCCAAAGUGACUUCUCUUUGAUUCUCCUGGGCAAGGAGUUUGUAUGGGGUUUCUCUAGAAAAGGAGGGUCAUGGUUGGUUCCUGUGCAUGGCUGGCUGGGCUGUUUUCAUGAAUUUUCCCUGUACUAUGCCAUAGGCUACUGGCAUCUGCUUCUCUUCCUGGACCUGUCUCUGCCUGUGUGUGUACCUGCAUUCAAAAGUGAUCACGGGCUGCCUGUGCUCUGAUCAUCCAUAUUGCAGGGAGAGGAAUUGCUGAAAGCCAUUUCCCGUGUUUGGAGGGUCCAGUCUGUCCCUCUCAAAUGCUGGUGCUUUCACACACUCUCACUUCUUUCCUGCCAACAUAUUCUGAUCUCAGGGAUGCUGGGGGCCGCUGAAUGAGAGUCAGUGAUGGCAGACAUUAUGGCUUAGCCUCCUGUAAUCAGAGUCCAAACUACAUCUGCAUCAAGGUUUAGAUACUUCAGGUGUUCAAAGGAACCAGGAUGAAUGAUGUAUAAUGAAUAAGUGUAAUACUAAAUGAUACGUGUUUGUGGCCACAGAAUUUUCAAAGAGAAGCAGUCUUUUGUAAGUGUAAGGCUAGGCAGACAGUGUGCUGGGCAGUAGGAACAUACCCCAGGGAGUAGGGAGCAGCAUGAGGAAGACUUAGAGGUUGAGGUGAGCGAAAGCUCCUGUCCCACCGAGGAGACAGAUGUACAGGCCAGUAGUGAUAGCAGGGAGGGAUAGACUUUUUGAUUGUUCUCUAGUAUUGAGGUUCCUUUUUCAUUUGGUGUGAAAAAAACCUGGCAGCUCAUAUCUAAUGGAUUGGGUACAUUCUCAUUGAUGUCAGCAUAAAGAAAAAUGGGGUAACCAUUUAGCCAUUGGAAACCAAACACUUGGGGUAGGGAUAAGGAUGUAGCUAGUGUAGAGCACUUGCCUAGUAUAUGUGAGAUCCUGGGUUCCAUCUCUAUCCACCACCAAAAGAAAACAAAAAAAGAAAAAGCACUUCAUUAACCUCCCCUUUCUGUGGCCCUCUCCUCACUCUAGGGAUGCUUCCUUGGAUCUGGAGAUUGUGGAAGGAAGGCCCAAGGGAUGGAGGCACUGACCCUCUCAGGAUGGUGACAUGGGGUGCCAGCUCUCUUUAUGUUGAUUUAUUGUCAAGAAGCCAAGUCAACCUGUGUUUCUGAGAUUGAGAUAGAAGUUCCAAGCCGCUGGGCUGGACUAACUUUCUCUUGGUCUGUGGUGUUGAUUGUGGACACUGGCACAGCAGAAAGUGAAGUGUGAUGUUGCCACGUGACACAUUGCCAGACCUUGCCACUGUUGCCUCAGCACAACGUGGAAACUUUUACUCUGUACGAUCAGGGCAAGGAAAGCCCUGGAUUCUGGGGACUUGGGGUUCAUAGGUGGAAACCCUUCAGCUGGCUCUGCCUCUCCUCAGCAGUGCCACGGAUCCCUGGACGGGAAGACUGGUCUCCAUCUCAUGUGUGGCCAGCUUCUGUGUCUUCUUUCCUAUUCCUGUUUUAACUGUUUAGAUCUAAAAAAAUGCUAAUGACGUUUUCUAUGCUGUGUCCUUGUCCUUUUACCUCAAUAAAUUUUGAAAUAUGCCCU